Molecule: ribosomal RNA, 253 nt
Filed under: uncultured bacterium
Lineage: Bacteria
Description: partial 16S ribosomal RNA
Rfam family: Bacterial small subunit ribosomal RNA
Source: RNAcentral
UACGUAGGGCGCAAGCGUUGUCCGGAAUUAUUGGGCGUAAAGAGCUCGUAGGCGGCUUGUCACGUCGGGUGUGAAAGCCCGGGGCUUAACCCCGGGUCUGCAUUCGAUACGGGCUAGCUAGAGUGUGGUAGGGGAGAUCGGAAUUCCUGGUGUAGCGGUGAAAUGCGCAGAUAUCAGGAGGAACACCGGUGGCGAAGGCGGAUCUCUGGGCACUUACUGACGCUGAGGAGCGAAAGCGUGGGGAGCGAACAGG